This 371-nucleotide long non-coding RNA is filed under the name Setaria viridis. RNAcentral's name for it is "long non-coding RNA (SVIR_LNC003241)". The record is from RNAcentral. Lineage: Eukaryota; Viridiplantae; Streptophyta; Magnoliopsida; Poales; Poaceae.
CUAGGCAGUGGGGAAGGAUGGCACUCGAGCUCAGAAUGGCAAGCGGUGAUGCUAGAGCUACAGUACGGAAGAUGAACGGGCAUAAUGGCUUGGGUGAAAUGGAAGGAUGAGUUCCUCCAUUAUUUAUAACCGUGGCACAAUUAACCAAGAGGCGGGAGUUACGGGGAAUAUUCCAUUUUUAAAGCCCUCAGUUAUCACUGGAUGGUUUCCAAUUUCUUCGGAAGAGAUAAGGUUACUAUUGACGAACGAUCACAUUAACCAGUGGUUGAUCCUUAUACCCAAACUAGUCAUCUAACGGCUCGGGGGCUGUGUGCCAUGUGCCCGUCGGUUAAAAAGUUUUCUUUGGGUUUCAAGGCAAAAGAGAUGUAAAA